AACCAUGCCCUUCGGGGCUCCUUGGUGAUUCAUAAUAACUUAACGAAUCGCAUGGCCUUGCGCCGGCGAUGGUUCAUUCAAAUUUCUGCCCUAUCAACAUUCGAUGGUACAGUAGUGGUCUACCAUGGUUUUAACGGGUAACGGGGAAUUAGGGUUCCAUUCCGGAGAGGGAGCCUGAGAAACGGCUACCACAUCCAAGGAAGGCAGCAGGCGCGCAAAUUACCCAAUCCCAAUUCGGGGAGGUAGUGACAAUAAAUACUGAUACAGGGCCCUUUCGGGUCUUGUAAUUGGAAUGAGAACAAUUUAAAUCCCUUAACGAGGAACAAUUGGAGGGCAAGUCUGGUGCCAGCAGCCGCGGUAAUUCCAGCUCCAAUAGCGUAUAUUAAAGUUGUUGCAGUUAAAAAGCUCGUAGUUGAACCUUGGGCCUGACCGAUCUGUCCUCCUAAUCGAGCGCACGGAUUCGGUUGGGUCUUUCCUUCUGGGGAGCCCUAUGCCCUUCACUGGGCGUAGUGGGGAACCAGGACUUUUAC
This 530-nucleotide ribosomal RNA is filed under the name ascomycete from Cephaloziella exiliflora rhizoid. RNAcentral describes it as "SSU rRNA". It matches the Rfam family "Eukaryotic small subunit ribosomal RNA", at positions 220 to 755 of the family's 1831-position model. Lineage: Eukaryota; Fungi; Ascomycota. The record is from RNAcentral.